GUCGAGAAUCUUUCACAAUGGGGGCAACCCUGAUGGAGCGACGCCGCGUGGAGGAUAAGGUCUUCGGAUUGUAAACUCCUGUCAUGCGUGAACAAGGUUGCUUGGUUAAUACCUGGGCAAAUUGAUGGUAACGCAAGAGGAAGAGACGGCUAACUCUGUGCCAGCAGCCGCGGUAAUACAGAGGUCUCAAGCGUAGUUCGGAAUCACUGGGCGUAAAGGGUGCGUAGGUGGCGUGGUAAGUCAGGUGUGAAAGCUCGGGGCUCAACCUCGGAACAGCAUUCGGUACUGCCAUGCUAGAUGACUGGAGAGGGGACUAGAGUUCUCGGUGUAGCAGUGAGAUGCGUAGAUAUCGAGAGGAAUACCAAAGGCGUAGGCAGGUCACUGGACAGUUACUGACACUGAGGCACGAAGGCCAGGGGAGCGAACGGGAUUAGAAACCCGUGUAGUCC
This 449-nucleotide ribosomal RNA is filed under the name uncultured bacterium. Its description in RNAcentral is "partial 16S ribosomal RNA". It matches the Rfam family "Bacterial small subunit ribosomal RNA", at positions 354 to 796 of the family's 1533-position model. The record is from RNAcentral.